GCGGUGAGAAACGUUCCAAGUUGUUAAUAGGUGUUAACAAGCUCCAGGGUGGUCUCUGGUUCGUGCGGUUGUUCGGUAAACGAACCAUAUAGUCCCAAUUGCACGAACCAAGCCUGUUUAAAGUAUAUUAACCAGUGCAGGGGCCAUAGUCACAAGGUAAAAAGCUGGCCAAUUAGUCCUCUCCAAGAUCCAGUGGCGAAGUUGCUUUUG
This is a non-coding RNA of Pelobates cultripes (western spadefoot toad), 210 nucleotides long. Lineage: Eukaryota; Metazoa; Chordata; Amphibia; Anura; Pelobatidae. The record is from the annotation of a GenBank genome assembly.